Long non-coding RNA from Engraulis encrasicolus (European anchovy), 818 nucleotides. RefSeq lists it as uncharacterized. The record is from RefSeq and is a predicted model, not a curated record. The transcript is spliced from 4 exons. Lineage: Eukaryota; Metazoa; Chordata; Actinopteri; Clupeiformes; Engraulidae.
AGCCAUAUGUUGUGUAUGUUAAAUUAAUCAAAGGGAAACAUGUCACUUCUACCAUGAAUAAUUAUGUUUUGUGAUUGGGCAUAAUGAAGUUAUGUAACUUUAGCAUGAUGCCCAAUAACCAACGACUUCCCAAAUCCAGUAAUGUUGUCACAACCUAAUUCCUUUGGAUAAGAUGACCAAUGGCUUUUACAACGCCAGAACAGAUGGUGGCAGUAGUGUGCGGAUUGUGUGUGGCAGCCGGAAACAACGAGCUUGCCGAGUUCUUUGACUGAAUACAUAUCCGCGGACACUCUGAAGGCGGCAUUCAAGAUGUUUGUAGGGUCCUCACCUCAGCUACCUCUCACAAGGUGCCCCUGAAAAAGAAAUUCAAGACGUUUGGGUCCUCAGCUCAACUGACCAAGACCUUUGCUCAUUGAAGGCAUGAAGUAAUUUGUGAUGCCCCCACGAUUGCAGUUUUUAAAUCCAGAUGGCUUGCUCUUUUUAACAUGUGCGAGAGCUGGAUGGUCUUUCAACAACACUGCUCCGGGUCUUCAGCAAGAAAGGUGCUUCUCAUGCAAGGAAGAUACAGAGGAUCCUGGUGCCCAUGACUCAGGUAAAACAUGCACACUGCCAUGCAUCACAGUAAUGCUAAAAUUUCAAGAUCUAAUGUAAUGGGGAGAAGUAGGGUGUCUUGGAUCAUAUUGCAUUUCUCCCACUAAUUUCAAUCCUUCAGCCAGUUUUGAACUCAUUGUCUUCACCUCAGUUCUAACUACAGCUGGCUUUACACACAGCAGUCCUGGGCAAUGAUAUAACAGUCUUUUGCAGGUCAGUUGAUGUGG